UUUUUUUUUAAUACUUGUAAAAAAAGAUGGAUCCAAUGGAUAAGUAUUUAGUUAUAGCUAAAUACUUAUCCAUUGGAUCCAUCGGAUCCAUCUUUUUUUAUAAGUAUUAAAAAAAAA
This is a non-coding RNA of Paramuricea clavata, 117 nucleotides long. Lineage: Eukaryota; Metazoa; Cnidaria; Anthozoa; Malacalcyonacea; Plexauridae. The record is from the annotation of a GenBank genome assembly.